GAUGAACGCUGACAGAAUGCUUAACACAUGCAAGUCAACUGUGGCGGACGGGUGCGUAACGCGUACAGAACUUGCCUCACAGUUGAGGUCAACGUUUGGAAACGAAUGCUAAUACCUGAUACUGUGAGAGUGCUUUGCGUCCCAUUAGCUAGUUGGAGAGGUAACGGCUCACCAAGGCGAUGAUGGGUAGCCGGCCUGAGAGGGUGAUCGGCCACAAGGGGACGGAGACACGGCCCUUACGCCAACGGGAGGCAGCAGUGGGGAAGAGUGGACAAUGGACCAAAGUCUGAUCCAGGAAUUCUGUGUGCACGAUGAAGUUUUCGGAAUGUAAAGUGCUUUCAGUUGGGAAGCGGUACCAACAGAAGAAGUGACGGCUAAAUACGUGCCAGCAGCCGCGGUAAUAC
Molecule: ribosomal RNA, 404 nt
Filed under: uncultured bacterium
Lineage: Bacteria
Description: partial 16S ribosomal RNA
Rfam family: Bacterial small subunit ribosomal RNA
Source: RNAcentral